RNAcentral lists this ribosomal RNA (440 nucleotides) under uncultured bacterium. RNAcentral's name for it is "partial 16S ribosomal RNA". It matches the Rfam family "Bacterial small subunit ribosomal RNA", at positions 338 to 795 of the family's 1533-position model. The record is from RNAcentral.
CCUACGGGAGGCAGCAGUGGGGGAUAUUGCACAAUGGGCGGAAGCCUGAUGCAGCCAAGCCGCGUGAGUGAUGAAGUCUUUCGGUAUGGAAAGCUCUUUCAGCAGGGAGGAAAAUGACAGUACUUGUCCAAGUAUCCCCGUCUAAAUACGUGCCAGGAGCCGCGGUAAUACGGCGGGGGCAAGGGUGAUCCGGAUUUACUGGGGGUAAAGGGGACGUAGACGGCUAUGGAAGACUGUAGGGAAGGCCCGGGGGCGAACCCAGGGACUGCAGUGGAAACUGGGUGACUGGAGUACAGGAGGGGCAGGCGGAAUUCCUGGUGUAGCGGUGAAAUGCGUAGAUAUCAGGAGGAACACCGGCGGCGAAGGCGGCCUGCUGGACUGAAACUGACGUUGAGGCUCGAAAGCGUGGGGAGCAAACAGGAUUAGAUACCCGAGUAGUC